Molecule: long non-coding RNA, 1456 nt
Organism: Acinonyx jubatus (cheetah)
Lineage: Eukaryota; Metazoa; Chordata; Mammalia; Carnivora; Felidae
Exons: 5
Source: RefSeq, a predicted model, not a curated record
UGACAUGGCAAACUCAAGUCACCUUCGACUUCAGCGGUACCACGCCUUUUUCUUGCCUCGUAGCCCAGGACAGAAAGUUUGCCAGAGACACAUUUCUUUAAAGCCCUGCUCACCAAUUCGGGAGUGGCCCCUUUAAAUGCAAAUGAACCGCCUCCUCGCUCUCGCCCCCCGCCCCCAUCCCAACUUCGCUCCUCGUGCCCAGACUCCGCCAGCUGCCAUUGACGUCACGCGUGCGUCAGCGUCGCCAGCCCAACCAGACGGCACGUGGGGGGAAGAAGGUGGCCUUAAAGGGCCAGCCGCCUUCGGCCGGCAGGGUCGCAGCUGUGAGUUUGGCCUUGGAAAGGAGGAAUGAAAUGAGAGGUGGGGAAAUCUGUUGGAGCGAGAGGACAUGCAGGAUAGACGUUAGGAAGGACAGGAGGAGAUCGCGGGUGACCAAGGGCACAUUGAAAGGCCCACGCAAACCUGGUGGCCGAGUGACGACAGUACUUUGGGGGAGCCUCGCAGAGGUUUGUGGAAGGUCUCUGAGGUGUGUCCCCCUCUCGUGGCGGGGGCAGCAGGGAAGCGAUGUAUGAAGCAAGAGUUAUCAAGAAAGGGCCCGAAAGCUGUCCUCUGCUGGAGGGUAAUCUCUGCACCCGAUGUGGGGCUCAAACUCACGACCCCGAGAUCAAGGGCUGGAGGUUCUUCCGACCGAGCCGGCCAGUAGCCUCAGACAGAGCGUGAGCAGGGGAGGGGCAGAGAGAGAGGGAGACACAGAAUCCGAAGCGGGCUCCAGGCUCUGAGCCGUCAGCGCAGAGCCCGACGCGGGACUUGAACUCACUGACUGCGAGAUCCUGACCUGAGCUGAAGUGGGACACUUAACCGACUGAGCCACCCCGGCGCCCCAGGUGUGCAAUGUAACAAUUCGAUGCAAAUUCCUAUUGAGAAAGGAUCACCAUAGUAGGGUUAGUUAACAUUCCACAACCUCACACCAUCAUCGUGUGCGCACGGGUGUGCGUGGGGAGGACAUUUAGGACCUGCUCUCAGCAACUAUCACGUGUCGCUAACUGUAGUCACCACGCUGUGAGUUACACGCUCAGCACUGGCUCCUCUCCUGACCGGAAGGUUGUGCCCUUUGACUAACAUCCACCAUUUCUACCCCUGCCCCCGAGAACAGCGUGAUUCACUCCUUUAACAAACAUUUAUUGCCUGCUGCGGCCGUACCCGGGACAUCUUGCUGGCGGGUCUGAGUUAGCUUUGAGGGACAUCUCUCUAGGUCCCUCCAUGGCCGGGUCCCGCUCCCCACGUUUACGUGGAAAGAGAAGAGUGGGUCCUGUCGAGGAGAUGGCGUCAGGGUGUAAAAAGACUUCAACGUAUUAGAUAAAAAUCGGGGCACCUGGCUGGCUGUGGAGCGAGCAACUCUCGAUCUCCGGUUGUGAGUUUGAGCCCCACGCCGGGGGCACAGACUACUUUAAAAAAA